CGCUCUUUGAGCCAAAUUAUAUAGAGAGUCGAGCCUGCCCAGUGAUAUAUAUUUAACGGCCGCGGUACUCUGACCGUGCAAAGGUAGCAUAAUCAUUUGCCUUAUAAUUGAAGGCUAGUAUGAAUGGUUUGACGAAAAUAAAGCUGUCUCCUUUUAAUUUUAUAAAACUUGAUUUUUAGGUGAAGAAGCCUAAAUAUAAUUGAUAGACGAGAAGACCCUAUCGAUCUUAAAAAAAUUUUACUAAAAAAUAAAAUUGUCAUAAAAUAAACUAGUAAAAAAUUUUAGUUGGGGCGACUAAGGAACAAGCAAAGCUUCCUAUUACAAAUAUAACAUAUUAGUUACGAUCCAAAAUUUUUGAUUAAAAGAAUUAGUUACCGUAGGGAUAACAGCAUAAUCUUUUUUAAGAGUUCUUAUCGAAAAAAAGGUUUGUGACCUCGAUGUUGGACUAGAAUAUCCUAAAUGAUGCAGAAGUCUUUAAAGGUUGGUCUGUUCGACCAUUAAUAUUCU
RNAcentral lists this ribosomal RNA (507 nucleotides) under Tateidae gen. n. sp. p FC-2020. RNAcentral describes it as "partial large subunit ribosomal RNA". It matches the Rfam family "Bacterial large subunit ribosomal RNA", at positions 1816 to 2597 of the family's 2925-position model. The record is from RNAcentral. Lineage: Eukaryota; Metazoa; Mollusca; Gastropoda; Littorinimorpha; Tateidae.